UCCGCCCACAGCCCAUGCGUUCGUCUCUUCCUUCCUUUCCGUCCUACCCCUAUAUUGCCCGAAGCCGCCGAAUCUCGCCGCCGGCGCUCCCCAGUCGCCACUGCGCCACUCCCUCCCUCCCUACGUUCCUCCAGACUGCUCCGUGCUGUCUCACGCGCCUCCCUGUAUUCUCAUCUCCAGGCGCCACCGUCUCGAUCGACCGUCGGCGCCGCCGUCUCGAUCCACCGCCGGCGCCACCUCUCGAUCGACAGCCGGCGCCACCUCUAGAUCUACCGUCAGCGCCACCGUCUCGAUCGACCGCCUGCGCCACCUCUCGAUCGACCGCCGGCGCCAUCGUGUCCUACCGCCUCGACCGACUGCCGAUCUCAAAGAUCAAGUUUUUCCCACGGCCAGACGGAACCUCCUCUUCCUGAUACCACACACGGGGAGGGGAGGAUGCGCACCCGAGUGAUUGGUAAUUGCGGAUCCCAAGGAUGGAGUGGUUUAUUGGUUCUCUAGGCUCCGACCUAUAUUUUCUUUCUCAAAAUUGUUUCUCACAACUCAGAUGAGAUAGCUUGUUGGCUAGUAGCUUGGGGUUUCCCCAUAGUUGCUUUCAAGAUGGUUUCCAUUUAUCACAGGAACCAACAAGUAAAGAGGAAUGCAUCUUGCCCAAAGCAGCGGCUAAUUCUUACUGGCGCAUGUAUGCAGGCAUAAGUACAAGCUAGAAACAAUGCAGCGAUCCAUAAAUGUUGAGUCUGAACCUGUGUCGUUAACUGACUUGCUGAGGUAUGAUCAAUGCAUAGGUUAAGUUGGGUAAUGCCGAGUUACAUGUGACUUUUCCUCACCUUCCUCUUGAUACAUUCACAUGAUAUCUAGUACAAGUGUUGUACCCAGUUAUGUGUAAUAUGCUUACUGCCUAUUUCUUAUUAUACAUGUACAGGAAGUUAGUAACCUCAAAUAGUUAAUUUUGUAGAAAAUUUGGUAGCCUCGAAUAAUGAUUUUUGUCACCUUAGCCAAUGUGCUUUUUGCCACACCACUGUGACAAGAUUCCCUUUGGCUUGCCAACUUGUGGCUUCAUUUGUAUUGAACUAACCUUAGGCAAGUUAGGCAAAUAAUGUGUAGCAAAAUGGGGCAUUGCAAGGCAUAUGCACUGCUUUUUUACAGAAAAGAAUAUCAGCUUCCCACUAGGAAUUUUACAAGCAUUUAGCUGCUCACAUGUUAUUUGUUUUAUACACAAGAGUGUUUGACUAAGUUCCCCAGACAUGUAUCUGACCCUUCGCUGUCCCAGUAAUUAUCUCCAUAGAUUCCUGUUCAUAAAAAAUGCUUUGAACAUGUGCUAAGGCUUCAGCUAUUGAGCUUCUGAUGGGCUUCUGUUGCGGAAGACCUACUGCCCUAACUGCAUUUGUAUCUUCUGAAAUUUCUGUAAUAGUUGCCGCAUUUGCUAGGUUUAUAAUCUUCAUUCUGCCAAUCUUUUCACCUGCAAUGAAUAAUACCCCUAUUAAGUCAGGCGAAACGAUUGGAAGAAUGAAGAUUAUAAACUUGUAUCAACCGCAGCUAAUGAAUGAAAUAAUACCUGUUCUUGUGUCAUGUGAUGUCAAAUAGGAUAUUAGUACAUCGGAUGCUUCGUCGAUUGUAUAACAGUGUAGCCUCCAUGAAGGCAGGAACCUGAUUCGCCUCAGCAGUUCUCCCUUAUCAUCAAACAAGGAAACCUGAUUUCUAUAUCUCACCAAUAAUAGUAGCUCAUCUUCAGUCUGUAGGAUGUGUAUCCCCCUUGGAUUACUCUUACAAACUGAUUUAGCCACAGAAGGCUCUUCUUUGAGCUGGAUCAUAAUUCAGGAGGAGCAAACACUUGUAAGUUGAGAUCAAGGUUUCAUAAUAAUAAAAUCUAGUUACUUGUAUGUAAUAAACCUACAUCUGUGAUUCGGACUCGCAUAUUUUCCUCUUGUAGCACCACUUUAGUUGAAAUAGAUUGUAUGAAUCUAACUUCACUGUAAUUCUUGAGAGGAACAUAACACCUUUCUGUCAGGCCUCCGGUUUUGAGAGAGUGUGUUUGGAUAGGAAAGAGGCCCUUCAGGUCAGGUCUGUGGCUUGUCACUAAGAUAUUAUUGCUGCAAUACGUAUAAGUUGUCAGUAUGCAACAGUGAAAACAAAUGCUGCCUUUUGAAGCCUAGACUAGUACCUCAGAUUGUAGCACUCCAUGCCUGGCAUUGUGAUCUGAUGAAGUAAACUGCCGUUCCUUGUGCUAAAAAUUCUCAUAACGCUGAUGGGAAAAAUGUUUGUUUAUUUUAUUAGAUUAGACAACAAUAAAUAAAUAAAAUACAAACAAAUAUUGGAAAGUGUUCAAUUUAUGUGUACCUAGUUUUUUUAGAAAAUACCACUGCCUUUUCAGCACCGGCAGAUAAUUUCACAUGUUCCGGAUUCGUAAUUUCAGAUACAGAAAACAUUCUUAUCUGUUGGGGCACGCGGAUCGCCAUCCUUAUAGACCUAGAAAUGAAACCAGGUAGGAUCAAAAUGCACAAUUCUUUUGUUUCAAGUUAUGUAGCUGAUAGAAUGCUAAAUAUUUGUUAGAAUGCUAAAUGUUCUAUUAUAAGAAAGGAGGCAUAACAAUGUCAUAUAUAUGCACAGGAGAAGUUUUAUGUGGUAGCUUUCCAAUAUGCAACCAUUCUGUCCUCCAAUCCUGUUUUAUGUUAUGUUCUUUUUAAAGCACCAUAUAUAUCUGUUAAACUGCAGCCUUGUAACUAGGUUUGGUUCUGAAAUAUCAUAUUGAUAUUGAUUUCUACUGAAUAUCCCCUUCUCUACAGGUAACUUGGGCCGUCUUGACAGCGAGGCUCCACCGUUCCUCUACUUGCUGCAGCUGCCCACGCCCCUCUCUACUUGCUCCACCUGUGAUUAGUUGAAUCUUUUUGUCGUUGUCAUUAACAGCUGCUACUCUAACAAUGUUUCGACACUAUUGUUGUGCUGGUCCUUCUACUGUUGUUUUCUUUCAUUCAACAGUAUAACAACAGUACUGUUUUGAACUUGUAAGUUUUGUGAUGUUGCUUGUUUAGUUCUGCAGAAAUACAACAACAAGCAGUACUUAAGAGUAAUACUGAUGCUCAUGAA
Long non-coding RNA from Triticum dicoccoides, 3081 nucleotides. RefSeq lists it as uncharacterized. The transcript has 3 exons. The record is from RefSeq and is a predicted model, not a curated record. Lineage: Eukaryota; Viridiplantae; Streptophyta; Magnoliopsida; Poales; Poaceae.